GUUUGAAUAAGGUGAGUUUGACUUUUUUUAUUUGAAGUCUCUUUUGACAUAACACAAAACCUAGCUUCGUGUUUUUCAUUCCCACAAACAUUACCUCUGUCUAAAACUCUCUUAGCAACCAGAAACUCGAAGCUCACAGCAUCUGGAGGAAAACUUAGCCAUCUGGCAAUCCCGACAGUCAGUUCGCUCUCUCCGGCUCCAAGGACUGUGAGCUUCGUCUCUAGAAGAUGGAAGCCUUCACGGAAUCUUAGGUUUCUUCUUCAAUCCAAGAAAACCCAGAGGAAGAGAAAUUACGCAGUCCCGCGGCUCUUCUGGUAUUACCAAACCCAAAGACGACGAGGCUGCUUGGGAUGGUGACGAGCCCGAUUGCUGGAAGCAUGUGGACGAGGCUGAGGUUUGGUGUCUGAUGCAUUUCAUUUAACUUUUGGGUGUGGCUUGUUGAGAUGUUCGAUGUUCGCAAUGGCGGCUUCUCAAAAGAAGCCUGAUGGAAUCUACGCUUAGGGGUAAGAUUGUUAUGUCUACAACGCUGGCAGAUCUCGAUGGCCUCAUCUCUACAACGCCUCCGCCUCUUCCUCUUCCCGCUCAACCCUCCGUUCAGAUCCAGUCUCCGGAAGGCUACUCUCACCCGAUUUUCACUUCGAAUUCGCCAAGGAUACACCAUGAUUCCAAAUCAAAAGUGCAGAAAAUUAGUGGUCUGAAACAGAAGAUGAAGAUUCAGGAUGUGAAACGUUUUUUACGGUGAAACGUUUUGCGAAGAAAGGCAGAACUGCUCUCACUCACCCUCCUUAUGAAGUGGAACUUGAUGAAACGAAGAAACGGCUGAAGGAGAUGGAGGACGAAUAUUUGGUCUACCAAAAGAAAGAAAUAUAUAUAUAUAUAUAUAUAUGUGUGUGUGUGUGUGUGUGUGUGUGUGUGUGAUUUUCUAACUUUUUUUCAAAAUUGUAGGUGCCUCCAACUCUGGGUUUUGUGCUGGAUGGUGAAAUGUCUUACUAUUUGCCUGCCGAAGACUUGAUUUUGCAACCUAUGCUCAGUUGCAUUUGAACAAAAUGAUUUGUAAUGCGGUUUGUGGUUUCUCUAAUUUUAAUUAAAGAGCUGUAGCAUGCAUGCUAUCUAUCUUGUGUUACUAUGAAUAAGAAUUUUAGCUAUGUGUAUUGUGCAGUGUUAGAAAGACAAAGUUGGACAAAUUUAAUAUUCAUGUACUUAUCUUUGUACUCUAUCACAAGUUCGAUCACAACAGAGCAUGCUAUCUAUCUUGUGAUACCAUCUUGAAGUUCGCCAUUUUGAUCUUGCUGAAAAAAGUUGGGAGGUGGAUCUUGAUUCUGUUGAAGCUCUUGUGGAUAACAACACUGCCGCCAUUGUUGUCAUUAACCAUAGCAAUAUUCCUUGUGAAAAUGUCUUCACAUACCAGCAUAAAAUGUGUGAAUAAUAUGUAACCCCUUUGUGCCUAUGGGAAAGUUCAGUUCAAUUAUACCAGUUCUUACUCUUGGUUCUAUAUCAAAGGCAUGUAUUGUUCCUGGUUAGAGACUUGGCUGGAUUGUGAAAAAUGAUCCUGAGGGCAUCCUUGAAAAAACUGGGAUUGUGGACAGCAUUAAGAACUAUCAUUUUGUCACUUAUGACCCGGCAACCUUUCUUCAGGUUCUUUCUCUGCUAUUUGAACGAUCCCACCACAACCACCACUGAAGCUUUCCCGUUUCUCAAUUUUGAAAAAAGACAUGGCUCCCCGAUCUAACAACACAGCCAAAGCUAAAGUAAUAGCACUAAGGAUGAAGGCACUGCAAAUGAAAAGAGGUACAAAAAACAAUGUCGAAACCAGCUGUUGAAGAGACUAAUGCACCACCUAAAUCUGCCUUCACCAAACAUGAUCAAUAGUAUGAGAUACCAGUGUUUUUUGGGUUCCAUUUGUUGAUCAUGCCAACUACUAUGGGUUAUUGAACUGAUGUUUACUAAGUUUAGCUCGAUUAUGAAUGUAUGUAUAGCUGCAGUAACAGAUUAAUCAAAUAUUGGUAUUUUUGUGAAUGGAUUCCAUAUUUGAUGAAUGCAUUGGGUAGUUUUCAGAUUUACAUAA
This is a long non-coding RNA of Rosa rugosa (rugosa rose), 2065 nucleotides long. RefSeq lists it as uncharacterized. The record is from RefSeq and is a predicted model, not a curated record. The transcript is spliced from 8 exons. NCBI's taxonomy places the organism in Eukaryota, Viridiplantae, Streptophyta, Magnoliopsida, Rosales, Rosaceae.